This 301-nucleotide ribosomal RNA is filed under the name uncultured bacterium. RNAcentral describes it as "partial 16S ribosomal RNA". It matches the Rfam family "Bacterial small subunit ribosomal RNA", at positions 509 to 807 of the family's 1533-position model. The record is from RNAcentral.
CAGCAGCCGCGGUAAUACGAAGGGGGCUAGCGUUGCUCGGAAUGACUGGGCGUAAAGGGCGCGUAGGCGGUUGUUACAGUCAGAUGUGAAAUUCCUGGGCUCAACCUGGGGACUGCAUUUGAUACGUGACGACUCGAGUGGAGGAGAGGGUCGUGGAAUUUCCAGUGUAGAGGUGAAAUUCGUAGAUAUUGGAAAGAACACCGGUGGCGAAGGCGGCGACCUGGCCUUUAACUGACGCUGAGGCGCGAAAGCGUGGGGAGCAAACAGGAUUAGAUACCCGCGUAGUCCCUGUCUCUUAUAC